UUGGAACAUGCAUCGAUAUUUUCUUCCUGCUUUCAGUAUUAAGUGACUCAUUGAUGGGCUGAGUUCCCUUGAUUGUUUGAUUAGUUGGAAAAGUUAAUGAUGUGAGGUGUCAUGCUAGGAUAGAAAAGGUGGUUUUAGAAGUUUUUUUAGACAGCUUUUGAAAGGUUAAGAUGUGAGCUUACCAAGAGUAAGAUGUAGGAUGUGACAAAUCACUCCAGUGUCUUUGUAAGGAAAAUCCCAAAAGGGGUCAUGAAGAAUUGGAUACAACUAAAAAACUACUAAACAACAACAAUAACAAAAAACAAUAUAAACCAAACAAGGAGAAUACUGACAUAGAACAAGGAAACCACUGAAAGGAAGAUCCCAUUUCUUGUCUGGAUGGAUAAUGUCAAUUCAGAAGUGAAAUGCAAAACAGGUUUUCCUAAGCUUAGAAGACACUAAGACUUUCCUUAAUACUUAGAUGGUUCAGAAAACUAAUAGCUCAAGACUGUUACAAUUAUUUUCUUACUGCCUGAGUGCCAAGUAGCCACUUGGAGUUGGAGGGGCUCUGAAAUGCCUUACUGGCUGAUCUCAAAAGGAACUUCAUUCAGUUGAAACAACUCAAGGACUAUCCUUGUUGAAUAUCAUUCUCUUGGUAUGACUAAAUAAAUCUUUUGUUUUUUUUUGUUGAA
This is a long non-coding RNA of Sarcophilus harrisii (Tasmanian devil), 671 nucleotides long. RefSeq lists it as uncharacterized. NCBI's taxonomy places the organism in Eukaryota, Metazoa, Chordata, Mammalia, Dasyuromorphia, Dasyuridae. The transcript is spliced from 2 exons. The record is from RefSeq and is a predicted model, not a curated record.